GGGGGAUUGGUUAACAAUACCAAAAGGCUGGUUAUGUUAUCUAGCUCCUGAAGUAAUUCGUAGUCUAAGGGCAGGAAGCCAACAAGAAAACAACUUGCCUUUUUCUAGAGCCUCAGAUAUAUAUGCCUUUGGUACUGUAUGGUAUGAACUUUUGUGUGGUGAAUGGCCCUUCCAUGGUCAACCUCCAGAAGCCAUUAUUUGGCAGGUGGGCAAAGGAGUGAAACAAACCUUAGCAAAUAUACAAGCUUCUCGGGAUGUCAAGGAUAUCUUAAUGACAUGCUGGGCUUACAAAGAUACUGAACGUCCUGAGUUUAGCAAGAUCCUCAUGAUGCUUUCAUGCCUUCCUAAGCUUCCAAAGAAACGGCUGGCAAGGAGUCCGUCGCAUCCCAUUCAUUUGUCACGAUCUGCUGAGUCAGUUUUCUAACAUCCCUCAAAACAUUCUUGCUUAGAAAUUCAUGUAACAAAUUUCUGUUAUAUUACUGUGUGUGCAUUUGUACAUACUUGAAUGGUGAAUGAGUAUUAUGUUAAUUUUUGUGAUGUUGCAAUCAUUGGCUAUUGUCCUUUUGGGCUUCAGUCUUCUAUGAAGAUGUUUAUGAGCAGUAUUUAAAAUUAAUGUUCUAGGCUGAGUAAUAAACUUAAAAAAAUUACAAACAUUCCUUGUGGAAUAUGCUCAAUAGCUCUUUAUCUUGUGAUCUCGUAUGUAAAGAAAAAGUGAUAUAUUUUAUAUGUAAGCCAACAAUUUCAUAAUUGUUAUAUAACUGUAAUAUGAUUUCAGUAUUCACUAUUAAUUUAAAUAUUUAAUGAACACAUUUUUAAUUUUCUCAUUUUGUUAUUGAUUUUAAACUUAUACUCAUUUUUAAACUAAUUUUUCUUCCCAGGCUACUUUUGCAAGAAUGUACUGUUGUAUAGCAAGAGAGUAUUUAUGCAAAAGUCGUGCUCAGUUUUAAACAAAAAUUGGAUCCCAUGCUCUAAAGCACUCUGCAGAAAUCAUAUUUUGAGCUAUUGUAUUGUAAUUACGCAUUUUGAAGCAUACUUCUGCAUGAAGAACUUUACAGAGAGAAAAAUAGCAUAGCUACCCAUUAUUAUUAUUAUUUUCAUUUACAAUGGAAAUUGAGUCUAUUUUGUUUUUACCAGGAAUUUUCUUCAUCACCAUUUUUAUAGAAAUUUUGCAGUUUUGCUAAACUAAGUAACCAUCUAUUAUUAUAUAUUUAAAACUGUAUUUUUACUUAUUAUAUUCAUUGUAAAUUCUAAAUCCUGAAUUUCAGUGAAAGGAUGAUCACUUCACAUACUUUUGCUUUUUAAGCUUUGUUACAAAAGUGUUAUUAAGUCACAGUUCAGAAAUUAUUAAAAUAUCUCAAAAGGCGUUAACAAUAAGAAUAUAAUUUUAAAUCUUCUUUUUACCAGAAAGGAAUUUUUUUAUUUCAGUAAAAAUUCAAGCUUUACUGCUUCCGUUUGCAUAAACUGAAUCUCCCAUGUAUCAGGUAUAUCUCUACUUUCAGUUAAUUUUGCAUGAAUGUAGUUUUGAAAAGUUUAAUUUCAACAGAGUUUUUAAACAGAAUUUUUCUGUCAUUCUAUAAUCUAAAUUUUGAAAAAUUAUGAUAAAAAUUAAGGAAAAGGCAUAAUUACCAUCAGUACUCAGGUUAUUCUUUUCAUAUCGUCUUUCAUGUCACAGGGGAAAAGAGUUGUUUGGAAUAAGAAAAAUUAAAUUCAUGUAACAAUUUUAUUUUUCUCUGGUGUGAAGUUUUUUUUCCCCUUGUAAUUUACCAAUAUAUCUUGCUAAACAUUACUGCAGUAUUCUUAUAUUAUUCGAUGAAGAUAAAAUUCUUCUAUUAAAAAUAAUGUUUUCUUAAUGCCAAUGUAAAUCUAAUUUUAGAAAGAUAAAGUAAAUUUCAAAUAUUGUUGAGAUUUGAAGCUUUGCAAAAUUAUCCUUUUAUCUAUUGUAUAUUCUUAAUAUAAAUGCGUAACAAGUAUUUUCAAUUUUGAUAAUUACUAUUAUAAAAAUAUGUGGCUUAUAAAAUAUAAAUGUUUCUCUCAUAGUUAUUUCAGUUCAUCUUAAUAAAAAUGAAUUUUUAAAAUAAUAUAUUCUGCAUAUGGCAUCUAAUAGCUUUUGAAAUGAUUUCUGCAAUAAUUUGUAUGUACUUUUGCAUAUGUUCUCAGUUACUGGUUCUGAAAAUUAAAUUUAUUGCUUUGACAAGAAAGUAAAAUAUCCAUUGCUUGAAAGCAAUUUUAGAAUGUUUUAACUGUAUUGAAUCACAGUGAUCUGAAUGAUUUGUAAAGCUUCUGUAACUUUGCCCAUUUCGGCAAUAGUCUAAGAAUGAUUGUAAAUAAACUGUUUUGGUGAGAAAACUAUGGAGUAUAAUUUUAAAAAGUUGAAUUAUUGCCAAGCAAAUAUAAUGAAUGUCUUUUCUCUUUAUCAGAUUAUUUUAAGAGCUAUUACUUUUUUUGCAUGAACGACUUCAGUAGUUUAACCAAAUUAUGGUUUUGUAAAUAUAUUAAAUAGUAGCUUUAUUUAUUAUUUGUAAGACAACAAAUUGAUAGUUGAUUAUAGAGAUGAUAAUCAAGCAUAUAUUUGUAUCUUGUUGUCUUACUGAAAGGUAUGAUGGUUAUCCAAAAGGAUGUCUUAACAUUGCGAUUGAGACUUGGUCAAAUAAUUUGUCUAUCUUCUGCCAUAAAUAACCUCUUUAAAUAUUGGUGAAGAAGAAAAGAAAUAUUUUCUCAUGUGAAACUCAAUAAUACCUUCUUUUUUAAUCAGUUCCAGAUUGCUUGUUUUUAAAUAUAUAAUGAGGGAAAACAAGAAGAUAUUACGAUGUUAUCAGUAAACAGUGAUAUGAUACAUGUAAGAUUUUUAUCUUGAGAUAUGAAGAUACCUGGAUUUUUAGAUAUUCCUUUUAUUACUUACAAAAUGCCUAGUAUUUGAAGUUAACAUAAAGUAACCUGAUGAUUUCUGCAAACUCAGUUUUAAUUUUAAAUAUUAAAUAAUGUAUAGCAAGUGGAAGGUAUGAUUCUUAGAGCUUUGGAAAAGGUUGUAUGAAUGCUGGGUUCAUUCUAAAAUUGCUGUUUCAAGUUUGUUAGGAUUAUUAUAAAAUUAAAAUUAAAUUUGCACAGUAAUUUUUAUUAGGUUUUCCAGUUUUCAAAAUAUAUUCCUAUCAGAAUUUUUAGUUAAGUAAAAUGCAUAUUUUUAUCCAAAGUCUAGGGCUUAAAUAUUAUGUAAUUAGCCAAAAUGUAACUUACUUUUAUAUAAACCAAAAUCUUACUUAAUUAAAUUAAAACCUGUAAAAAUUUAAGUCAAAUUUAAUUAUUAAAGCUAAGAAUAAAACAAAUAGAGUGCAUGUGAUUACAUAAGUAUAUCCUGAUAUUCAGUUAAUUUUUGAGUGCAAUACUUGAUUAUGCACUCGUUUUCAAAUAAAUCCUAAAAUUGACUUUUUAUUUGUUCAAGAUUUAUUGCAUUAGUGAAUGCAAAUGUAGUGUUGAUUAGCAAAGAGUAUCUUAGGUAGAAGGCUAUAUUUAAUGAAAUAAAAUGUAAUCAUUCAGUAUGCAUUGGCAUUUGCAAGUAGUAUGUUUAAAUUGCUACUACAUACAAGUAAAAUGGCAGAUGAUUGUGAACAAAUAUAUGUGAUAGUGAUAUAACUUAAAUAAAUGCUGUAAAAUUAAAUUAACAAAUUACAUACAGUAUAACAUUGCCAGCAUAGAAUAAAUGCACUACAUGCUGCAUUGUAUUUACUGUGUAUUCUUUCCUUUCUCUGUUUGUCAUUAUAUAUGUAUAUGAAGAUUCCAAUAUUUAGUCUAAUACUGAAAGGGAAUUGAGCAAUGAAGAAAUACUGUACUGUUUUUAUGAAAAAAAAAGGGGGAUCAGUAUUGUACUUUUGAUCAAAGCAUGAGCACUGAACCUUGGUACAAAUCAUGCAUGUGCAUCAUAUUGUACUUAUAGUUGGAUUAUUGUGGAAGACAAUAUCAGAUGCUUUCACUAUUCUGUUUAACCAUAUUAACCUAUUCUCUCUUGGUGUGGGUUUUAUCUCUUAUUAAUUUGCAUUUUAAAUUUUCAGCAUUCUUUUGGCUCAUAAGCAAAAGAUAUGAGGACUAUGUUUCAUUGGCUGUAUUUGUAUCCUGCAGAUAUUCCUGAAUAAAUAAAAGGGAAAAUGUAUUAAGAACAUUUUACAUAUUUUGCUAAUUUCUACAUGAAUUCUCUUCACUUGAUACUAUAACAAAAAUAUCCUCUUAUAAAGUAAGGAAACGUCUUAAAUUUUGAGUACCCUUUUACAAUAUUCCAUUUUAAACAAAAAGAGCAAUGUAUUUUGGGAAACAGAAAUGUCUUAGAAUGAACCCUAGUGAAUAAAUAAUGUUAUUGUGUAAUUGUUAUUAUACUUAGUAAUUUAAAUACAGGAAUAUUUUGCCUUUUUAAAAAGUGAUUCUCUUUCAAAUAUGUUAUGUCUUUAAUUUGAUUCCUAAAGAAUAUCUCUAGUAAAGAUGCAGCAUAAAUGCAUGUGAUUAAGUAAAUGAUUAGACACGUCUAUUUUUUCCCUAGUAAAAAAUAAAUAAUGUGCAUAAUAAAUAACAAUAAGUAAAAAAUAAAUUAUAAUAAUGUGCUUAAUAAAUAUUCUUUGCUUUUCCAUAAUCACCUUAACUGAGAAAUAUAACAGUUGUAAUCAGUUAUAGUGUGUUCCAGAUGCUUUUUGAAGUUGCUGUAUCCCAAAAUCUGAGAUAUAUGUUGUUUGUUAUUAUCUUACUUUACUGUUCUUAAAAAUAAUUUAUAAAUGACAAAAUAAGUACCUGUGGUAAUGAUUUAAAUUUUUUGAAUUCUAUAAAACAAAGAAGAUAAAAUUGUAGAGAAAAGAAGCAGUAAUUAAAAGUAUUUCAAAGCAAAUUUAUGAUAUAGCUUUAACAACUUAUUAUUUGAAAAGUUUGUUUGAAAAUAAUUCUGUUUGGUCAAUAUUUUUAUAAUCAAAAAAAAUGCUUUAGCCGUUUUAUUUUAUGACUUUAUAUUGUAUACAUAUGUGCACAUCUGUUAAUCUUUUGUCACAGUGAAAUUUUUUGAUUAUAAAUAGGCCACUUAAAAAAAAAAAUAGAGAAAGGAAAAGGGAAAAAAAAAAACUAUGUUUACAACUAGCUUCCAAACUACAUUCAGUUUCAGAAUAUUAUAAUACCACAUACAUAUACAUGGUAGAUAAAAAUUGUUAAAUUUCCUAAUGUGAAAUUUAAUAGCAUAUGGCAGAAAAUAUUAUUGUACUUUUAAGCAAUAAUUGAAAAUAUUAUUGCUUAAAAGAUUUUUAAUUUCUGAGUGGUAUUUCAUGACUUUGUAUGCCUGUUUUUUAACAUCAUUUAUCAAAAUAUAUCUUAAGAGAUUUAUAUAUAUAUAUAUAUUUCUCUUCAAAAUGAAAGUAUGGUAUUAUCAAAAUUUGAAUGUUAAAAUUCCGAAAUUAUUACAUAAAAUAUUUUAAUUGAAAUUUUUUUCAUAUCAUAAAGUAUUUUAAUUCAAAUUCUUUCAUUCAUUCAGAAUUUGAAGUCUUUCUCCUUAAAAAGAUUCCAAAAGUAAAGAUUCUUUAACAAUUCAUUUUGAGGUGUAAAUCAAAUAUCUUAUUUAUCUUAAUAGUACGUUUCAAAAUUUAGUGUAUUAGCAUUUAUAAAAAAAUUGUAUCCAUACAUUUAAACAUUUGAUUUUUAUGCAUAUAGUGCAGUGCUUUAGUUUUAUAUCAUUUGUUUAUCAUUUCCAGAAUGGGGGGAAAGCAAAAUAUUGUUUUACUUGCUCUUCUUUGAUGCUUAAUAAAUUAUAUGUCCUUGCAUUUACUAAAAUAAUGUUUAUAAUGCUGAUAUAUCAUUUUCAUUGAAGCAAAAAAAAAAAAAAAAAAAAAAAAAAA
This is a long non-coding RNA of Stegodyphus dumicola, 5852 nucleotides long. The record is from RefSeq and is a predicted model, not a curated record. Lineage: Eukaryota; Metazoa; Arthropoda; Arachnida; Araneae; Eresidae.